This 326-nucleotide small RNA is filed under the name Pongo abelii (Sumatran orangutan). RNAcentral's name for it is "retained intron". The record is from RNAcentral. Lineage: Eukaryota; Metazoa; Chordata; Mammalia; Primates; Hominidae.
GGGGAAGGACCAACCACCAGCCCAAAGUCUUGGGGAAGCUGGCGGUGGAAACUGCCUUCCUGGGCACUGUGCUGCUCUCCUCCCCCGAUGUGGGUCAACACCAGGUCUGAGCCCCCCUCUGCCCUCUACUCCCAGGCAAUGUCAAAGCUGGGCUUGCGGCAGAUUCAGGGAGUCACCAGGAUCACCAUCCAGAAGUCCAAGAACAUCCUCUUUGUCAUCGCCAAGCCUGAUGUCUUCAAGAGCCCAGCCUCAGACACUUAUGUGGUCUUUGGCGAGGCCAAGAUUGAGGACCUGUCCCAGCAAGUGCACAAAGCCGCAGCUGAGAA